RNAcentral lists this ribosomal RNA (1478 nucleotides) under uncultured Bordetella sp. Its description in RNAcentral is "partial 16S-23S ribosomal RNA intergenic spacer". It matches the Rfam family "Bacterial small subunit ribosomal RNA". Lineage: Bacteria; Pseudomonadati; Pseudomonadota; Betaproteobacteria; Burkholderiales; Alcaligenaceae. The record is from RNAcentral.
GGUUUGAAGUUAUGGCUCAGAUUGAACGCUGGCGGGAUGCUUCGCAUGCAAGUCGAACGGCAGCACGGACUUCGGUCUGGUGGCGAGUGGCGAACGGGUGAGUAAUGUAUCGGAACGUGCUGCCUAGUAGCGAAUAACUACGCGAAAGCGUAGCUAAUACCGCAUACGCCCUUCCAGGAAAGCGGAGGACCUUCGGGCCUCGCACUAUUAGAGCAGCCGAUAUCGGAUUAGCUAGUUGGUGGAGUAACGGCUCACCAAGGCGACGAUCCGUAGCUGGUUUGAAGGACGACCAGCCACACUGGGACUGAGACACGGCCCAGACUCCUACAGGAGGCAGCAGUGGGGAAUUUUGGACAAUGGAAACCCCUGAGCAAGCCAUCCCGCGUGUGCGAUGAAGGCCUUCGGGUUGUAAAGCACUUUUGGCAGGAAAGAAACGGCACGGGAUAUGCCCGUGCAACUGACGGCUGCCUGCAGAAUAAGCACCGGCUAACUACGUGCGUAUGCGGUAAUACGUGGUGCAAGCGUUAAUCGAUUUUAGGCGUAAAGCGUGCGCAGGCGGUUCGGAAAGAAGAUGUGAAAUCCCAGAGCUUAACUUUGGAACUGCAUUUUUAACUACCGAGCUAGAGUGUGUCAGAGGAGGUGGAAUUCCGCAGCAGUGAAAUGCGUAGAUAUGCGGAGGAACACCGAUGGCGAAGGCAGCCUCCUGGGAUAACACUGACGCUCAUGCACAGCGUGGGGAAUAAACAGGAUUGAUACCCUGGUAGUCCACGCCCUAAACGAUGUCAACUAGCUGUUGGGGCCUUCGGGCCUUGGUAGCGCAGCUAACGCGUGAAGUUGACCGCCUGCAGAGUGCGGUCGCAAGAUGCAAAACUCAAGGAAUUGACGAGGACCCGCACAAGCGGUGGAUGAUGUGGAUUAAUUCGAUGCAACGCGAAAAACCUUACCUACUGACAUGUCUGGAAUCCCGAAAGAGAUUUAGGAGUGCUCGCAAGAGAACCGGAACACAGGUGCUGCAUGGCUGUCGUCAGCUCGUGUCGUGAGAUGUUGGGUUAAGUCCCGCAACGAAGCUGCAGCACUUGUCAUUGGUUGCUACGAAAGGGCGCUCAAUGAGACUGCCGGUGACAAACCGGAGGAGGUGGGGAUGACGUCAGGGCCUCAUGGCCCUUAUGGGUAGGGCUUCACACGUCAUACAAUGGUCGGGACGGGGGUCGCCAACCCGCGAGAGGCCAAUCCCAGAAACCCGAUCGUAGUCCGGAUCGCAGUCUGCAGCUCGACUGCGUGAAGUCAGAAUAUUAGUAAUCGCGGAUCAGCAUGUCGCGGUGAAUACGUUCCGGGUCUUGUACACCGCCCGUCACACCAUGGGGAGUGGGUUUUACCAGAAGUAGUUAGCCUAACCGUAAGGAGGCGAUUACCACGGUAGGAUUCAUGACUGGGUAAAGUCGUAACAAGGUAAGCUCUGUACUGAUGCUCCCAAACUU